UUAGACACAAGCCUCAUCAUUAGGCGUUAGCCACCUAACCUUCACGACUUGGUGCGCUAGAUCUGAAACCUGUGAAUCUACAUAAAACGAUAGAAAUAGUGAAUCAAACGUAGACAAAAAUAAGUCAACACGAACUAAAGCUAGCCAAAGACUAUUGGGCUUGAGAAUACGAGUUACUGUGAACUCAAGAAAACACGAGCCUCUAUUGACUCGAAGGGGUUUAUUAUUCCGAAAAAGACUCCUUUAAACUAGAAAAAGUAGUCGAAUUUGGUGAACAGGAAAGAGCAUCAUUGUACCGAUUAAAAAAAGAGAAGGAAAAAAGAGAUGAAAAGACAUGAGGAAGAGAAAAGGAAAAAAGGAGGUGGAUGUUGGUCAAACGCGGUCAGAAAUGGUUAGGAGGCAAUAAGGAAUUCGACCAAC
RNAcentral lists this long non-coding RNA (420 nucleotides) under Gossypium barbadense (sea-island cotton). Its description in RNAcentral is "long non-coding RNA (GBAR_LNC011026)". Lineage: Eukaryota; Viridiplantae; Streptophyta; Magnoliopsida; Malvales; Malvaceae. The record is from RNAcentral.